GACAUUCUAUACGGAGUUACAAAGGAACGAGGUAGACGAAGCGACCUGGAAAGGUCCGUCGUAGAGGGUAACAACCCCGUAGUCGAAACUUCGUUCUCUCUUGAAUGUAUCCUGAGUACGGCGGAACACGUGAAAUUCCGUCGGAAUCUGGGAGGACCAUCUCCCAAGGCUAAAUACUCCCUAGUGAUCGAUAGUGAACCAGUACCGUGAGGGAAAGGUGAAAAGCACCCCGGAAGGGGAGUGAAAGAGAUCCUGAAACCGUGUGCCUACAAAUAGUCAGAGCCCGUUAACGGGUGAUGGCGUGCCUUUUGUAGAAUGAACCGGCGAGUUACGAUCCCGUGCGAGGUUAAGCUGAAGAGGCGGAGCCGCAGCGAAAGCGAGUCUGAAUAGGGCGUUUAGUACGUGGUCGUAGACCCGAAACCAGGUGAUCUACCCAUGUCCAGGGUGAAGUUCAGGUAACACUGAAUGGAGGCCCGAACCCACGCACGUUGAAAAGUGCGGGGAUGAGGUGUGGGUAGCGGAGAAAUUCCAAUCGAACCUGGAGAUAGCUGGUUCUCCCCGAAAUAGCUUUAGGGCUAGCCUUAAGUGUAAGAGUCUUGGAGGUAGAGCACUGAUUGGACUAGGGGUCCUCAUCGGAUUACCGAAUUCAGUCAAACUCCGAAUGCCAAUGACUUAUCCUUAGGAGUCAGACUGCGAGUGAUAAGAUCCGUAGUCAAAAGGGAAACAGCCCAGACCGCCAGCUAAGGUCCCAAAGUGUGUAUUAAGUGGAAAAGGAUGUGGAGUUGCUUAGACAACUAGGAUGUUGGCUUAGAAGCAGCCACCAUUUAAAGAGUGCGUAAUAGCUCACUAGUCGAGUGACUCUGCGCCGAAAAUGUACCGGGGCUAAAUACACCACCGAAGCUGCGGAUUGAUACCGAAUGGUAUCAGUGGUAGGGGAGCGUUCUAAGGACAGUGAAGUCAGACCGGAAGGACUGGUGGAGUGCUUAGAAGUGAGAAUGCCGGUAUGAGUAGCGAAAGACGGGUGAGAAUCCCGUCCACCGAAUGCCUA
Molecule: ribosomal RNA, 1048 nt
Filed under: Bacillus sp. KbaB1
Lineage: Bacteria; Bacillati; Bacillota; Bacilli; Caryophanales; Bacillaceae
Description: bacterial LSU rRNA
Rfam family: Bacterial large subunit ribosomal RNA
Source: RNAcentral